AUGAGGAUGCAUAUACAUAGUAUUAUAGAAAUGGGGUCAAGAGCAUGCAUUAUCAAGGAUUAUUUGAAACACAUACACUCAAACCCUUAUCCCCAACAUAACCCCAAAACCCCAAGUCUCUACAUAACUCGCCUGAAAUUGAUGAUGAGAAGGAGCUGGAACAUAAUAGAGGUGGCUGAAUCAAGAGAUGGAAAUUGA
Molecule: non-coding RNA, 198 nt
Organism: Vicia faba (fava bean)
Lineage: Eukaryota; Viridiplantae; Streptophyta; Magnoliopsida; Fabales; Fabaceae
Source: the annotation of a GenBank genome assembly